UGGGGGAUAUUGCACAAUGGAGGAAACUCUGAUGCAGCGACGCCGCGUGAGGGAAGAAGGUCUUCGGAUUGUAAACCUUUGUCUUCAGGGAAGAACGACGAGUAAUCGUCUUGACGGUACCUGAGGAGGAAGCCACGGCUAACUACGUGCCAGCAGCCGCGGUAAUACGUAGGUGGCAAGCGUUGUCCGGAAUUACUGGGUGUAAAGGGUGCGCAGGCGGGGCAAUAAGUUGGAUGUGAAAUACCCGGGCUCAACUCGGGUGCUGCAUUCAAAACUAUUGCUCUUGAGUGAAGUAGAGGUAGGCGGAAUUCCCAGUGUAGCGGUGAAAUGCGUAGAUAUUGGGAGGAACACCAGUGGCGAAGGCGGCCUACUGGGCUUUUACUGACGCUGAGGCACGAAAGCAUGGGUAGCAAACAGG
RNAcentral lists this ribosomal RNA (418 nucleotides) under uncultured bacterium. RNAcentral describes it as "bacterial SSU rRNA". It matches the Rfam family "Bacterial small subunit ribosomal RNA", at positions 355 to 776 of the family's 1533-position model. The record is from RNAcentral.